CACGUAGGGGACGAGCGUUGUCCGGAAUCAUUGGGCGUAAAGCGCGUGUAGGCGGUCCGGUAAGUCCGCUGUGAAAGUCGGGGGCUCAACCCUCGGAUGCCGGUGGAUACUGUCGGGCUUGAGUACGGAAGAGGCGAGUGGAAUUCCUGGUGUAGCGGUGAAAUGCGCAGAUAUCAGGAGGAACACCAGCGGCGAAGGCGGUGCUCUGGGCCGGAACUGACGCUGAGGAGCGAAAGCGUGGGGAGCGAACAGG
RNAcentral lists this ribosomal RNA (253 nucleotides) under uncultured bacterium. Its description in RNAcentral is "partial 16S ribosomal RNA". It matches the Rfam family "Bacterial small subunit ribosomal RNA", at positions 524 to 776 of the family's 1533-position model. The record is from RNAcentral.